GCCUGGAUGGCGGAAUUGGCAGACGCGCUGGACUCAAAAUCCAGUUCUUUGAACGGAGUGAGGGUUCGACCCCCUCUCCAGGUACCA
Molecule: transfer RNA, 87 nt
Filed under: Puniceicoccales bacterium
Lineage: Bacteria; Pseudomonadati; Verrucomicrobiota; Opitutia; Puniceicoccales
Description: tRNA-Leu
Rfam family: tRNA
About the family: Transfer RNA (tRNA) molecules are approximately 80 nucleotides in length. Their secondary structure includes four short double-helical elements and three loops (D, anti-codon, and T loops).
Source: RNAcentral